AUCCUUUUAUAGUUCCUAAGUGUGAUCAUUGGGUGUUCACGCUCACACGUGAGAUGUGCUACCCUUGAACCUUGUUAGAACAUCAGCACAGGCCGGGCGCGGUG
Molecule: small nucleolar RNA, 104 nt
Filed under: Papio anubis (olive baboon)
Lineage: Eukaryota; Metazoa; Chordata; Mammalia; Primates; Cercopithecidae
Description: Small nucleolar RNA U13 (ENSPANG00000043206.1)
Rfam family: Small nucleolar RNA U13
Source: Rfam by way of RNAcentral